GACGAACGCUGGCGGCGUGCUUAACACAUGCAAGUCGAACGGAAAGGCCCCUUUGGGGGUACUCGAGUGGCGAACGGGUGGGUAACACGUGAGUAACCUGCCCUUGACUUCGGGAUAACUUCAGGAAACUGGGGCUAAUACCGGAUAGGAAUCCUUGCUGCAUGGUGGGUGUUGGAAAGCUUCGGCGGUUUUGGAUGGACUCGCGGCUUAUCAGCUUGUUGGUGGGGUAGUGGCUUACCAAGGCUUUGACGGGUAGCCGGCCUGAGAGGGCGACCGGCCACAUUGGGACUGAGAGACGGCCCAGACGCCUACGGGAGGCAGCAGUGGGGAAUAUUGCACAAUGGGCGGAAGCCUGAUGCAGCAACGCCGCGUGCGGGAUGACGGGCUUCGGGUUGUAAACCGCUUUCAGCAGGGGCGAAGCUUGUGGUGACGGUACCUGCAGAAGAAGCACCGGCUAACUACGUG
Molecule: ribosomal RNA, 465 nt
Filed under: uncultured bacterium
Lineage: Bacteria
Description: partial 16S ribosomal RNA
Rfam family: Bacterial small subunit ribosomal RNA
Source: RNAcentral